CAAACGACUCUCGGCAACGGAUAUCUCGGCUCUCGCAUCGAUGAAGAACGUAGCGAAAUGCGAUACUUGGUGUGAAUUGCAGAAUCCCGCGAACCAUCGAGUCUUUGAACGCAAGUUGCGCCCGAAGCCAUUAGGUUGAGGGCACGUCUGCCUGGGCGUCUCAC
Molecule: ribosomal RNA, 164 nt
Filed under: Camellia liberofilamenta
Lineage: Eukaryota; Viridiplantae; Streptophyta; Magnoliopsida; Ericales; Theaceae
Description: 5.8S ribosomal RNA
Rfam family: 5.8S ribosomal RNA
About the family: 5.8S ribosomal RNA (5.8S rRNA) is a component of the large subunit of the eukaryotic ribosome.
Source: RNAcentral